RNAcentral lists this long non-coding RNA (2239 nucleotides) under Mus musculus (house mouse). RNAcentral describes it as "long non-coding RNA chr16:65860827-65863066". The record is from RNAcentral. Lineage: Eukaryota; Metazoa; Chordata; Mammalia; Rodentia; Muridae.
ACAUAGAAGGCCAUUGUCUUUCGAUUUGAACCUUUUCUGGAGAAAACAUAGAGGGCUCUCCUAGUCCUUGAGGAAGAGCCUUUGGGUUUCUUUUCCCUCAUCUGAGCCUUUGUCAUCUGUGCAACGUCUUGUUUUACUUGCCUUGUACCAGUACCUGGGCUAGCUUUUGUAUGCCUUUUUAUUUUUCUUUUUGAACCAGUAACCUUGUAAAAAGAUGAUCUACCAAAUGAAAAUGCUCAUUUCUUCAGGAAAAACUAUUAACUCCAUCUUCAUCUAUUUUUAUAGAAAUACAAAAUGGUUGGUUUAGCAUGGAGGGGAUAUUUUUGAAGAUGUAAUUUUUUUUUUAAUGUUGUAACAGUCGUUGAGUUCUGUUUAAAGAACUUGCUCUCAGAAAAGCACUGGCCAAAAUGCUGAAGCGCUGAUCCAUCUUUAGAGUCUGUGAUGCGCUGUGUCUGUGCUUCCGAGGGUACCUCAAGGGUUUCAUCCUUCCUCCAACAGUGGCACUGCCGUAGACAAACCCUGCAACAUUGUGUUCAUGUUGAAACUCAGUGAAGACUUAAUUCGAUGAUAGCUCUCUUAGUUUGCUGUUAUAUAUGUCUGUGCAUCUUGAAAGGGGCAUUUUCCUUUAAAGGGACACAAAGGGAAGGGGACUUCUCCGAAAUAGUUCUUGGAGGUUGACUAACAAGAAAAAAAUUGGUUAAUGAACAAUACUUCUCUAUAUAGUCCAGCUUAUCUUAACAUUUAGGUGGAGAGCUUACACAUGGCUUCAAAAUAGGGAAAAAAAAAUCAAUGCAUUUAGCCAUGAUAACUGUGGACAUCACGGCUGAAUUUUCCUAAUUUCUAACCAUUCGUUCAUGGAUGACUUUGGAUGACUGUGUUUUCUGAAUACAAAUGAGUAGUAUCAGGAAAGGAAGGAGACACGUGUCAAAAUGCUGACUGUUCCUCAUCUUUGUAAAAGUGAUGUAUUCUUUAUGCAAUGUUUUCACUUGAUCAUUUUUGCAAGAUUUUCAUUUGCUUUUAAGUGUAAUUAGUUUCUAAAAAAUUAGAGCAAAAUAAAAGUGGUAAUGGAUUUAAGUUUAUGCUUCAAUUACACAAACUGGUUGAAAGACUCAAAGCUUGAGAAAUGAACUUAACAUGGCCCACAAGAUAAAAAAAAUGAAGUUGGAAUUAACUUUAAGAGAAAAUUGGACAAAGUUUGGGAUUAUGAAGGUAGCGAUGAGUGGCAAGUCAAAGACACAACCUAUUUUUUCCUUUUAGUUGCUCCCAGCCACACAGGGCAUUAGUGUAGUAUAGAUGCUUUUAUUUAAUAAUGUUUCUCAAAUUCUUCCAUUCUUCUCAGGCCACACAAAACAGAAGGUUAAGUCACGUGCUAUGUUCUGUUUUUAAUUGUGAACUUCAUGGGUGAGAAUAUUUUACACAUUAACAACACAACAAGCAGCUACACAGAAUUCUCACAACUCAUUUCCAAACAUUUCACUUGGCUGUAUCUUAGACAUUCGUUUCUCUUCCUGCUGUGUUUUGAAUUAUAAACCCACUUCAUCUCUUGUAGUCACAGACUCCCAUCAUUUUUUUCAUCUUGAUUUUUCUUUAACACAGUCUUCACAUUUUUAUCAAUAUAAUCUAGACUUAAGGAAGCUCCCACUCACCAGUUUAGGAACUUUAGCAUCCAGAUAAUGGGCCUCAUUAAAUUCUGUGCAUAUUUAUCUGGAUUUUGAUAACAUAUAAAGUUGUUUUAUUUGUUAUCUGUAUCUGCAUAAAUAUGUGGAGCAUAGAGUUGAAUGAAUCUAUCAAAUUCAUGAUGUCUUGAGUCUUCUUAAGUUGUAAGAAUUGAGUACUUAGCAACUCUCAUGAGGGAAACACUUUGGCUGUUGUCACAUCCUUCCUUGAGAUAUAUUAACUUGCAUUGCCGUGUCUCUUAGAACAGUACCACACUUCCAAUCACUGAGCUCACUCCAUUAAUUUUUUCCAGAUAAGGGAGGAUAAGAGGACUAACUUGUUUUCUUUCCUUAUUUACCAUCAUUCUGGAUUGAAAAUGAAAGUAGUUAAUUUCGUGGUUUUGCUGUGAUAUCCUUGUAACUAUGGCCAAAACAUGAUUUGGUUCAAGAUCAAAGGAAAGUGAAGAAUCUGAAUUCUAUUGCAUGCAACAUGCAACAUGCUCUCUCUUUAAGAACAGGCAUAGGUAUCAGUGGCACAUUGUCAUCAAAGGAGGAGACCAAAAUCUAAUAAAAGGAAAAAGAAC